This 438-nucleotide ribosomal RNA is filed under the name uncultured soil bacterium. RNAcentral's name for it is "bacterial SSU rRNA". It matches the Rfam family "Bacterial small subunit ribosomal RNA", at positions 157 to 633 of the family's 1533-position model. The record is from RNAcentral.
GGUGGACUAAUACCGCAUGUGGUAGUUUAGUUUAAAGCUCCGCUUAGGGAAGAGCUUGCGUCCUAUCAGGUAGUUGGUGGGGUAACGGCCUACCAAGCCUUCGACGGGUAGCUGGUCUGAGAGGAUGUCCAGCCAGACGGGGACUGAGACACGGUCCCGACUCCUACGGGAGGCAGCAGCAGGGAAUUUUGCGCAAUGGGCGAAAGCCUGACGCAGCAACACCGCGUGAGGGAAGACAGCCUUCGGGUCGUAAACCUCUUUUAUCAGGGAAGAAUGACGGUACCUGAUGAAUAAGUCACGGCUAACUACGUGCCAGCAGCUGCGGUAAUACGUAGGUGGCGAGCGUUAUCCGGAUUCAUUGGGCGUAAAGAGCGCGUACGUGGUCCUUCAAGUCAGAUGUUAAAUCUCCCGGCUUAACUGGGAGCUGUCCUCUGAUAC